UACGAAGGGGGCUAGCGUUGCUCGGAAUCACUGGGCGUAAAGCGCACGUAGGCGGACUCUUAAGUCGGUGGUGAAAUCCUGGAGCUCAACUCCAGAACUGCCUUCGAUACUGGGAGUCUCGAGUCCGAGAGAGGUGAGUGGAACUGCGAGUGUAGAGGUGAAAUUCGUAGAUAUUCGCAAGAACACCAGUGGCGAAGGCGGCUCACUGGCUCGGUACUGACGCUGAGGUGCGAAAAGCGUGGG
This 243-nucleotide ribosomal RNA is filed under the name uncultured bacterium. Its description in RNAcentral is "partial 16S ribosomal RNA". It matches the Rfam family "Bacterial small subunit ribosomal RNA", at positions 524 to 765 of the family's 1533-position model. The record is from RNAcentral.